GAGGGUAUAGCUCAGUGGUAGAGCACAUGCUUAGCAUGCAUAAGGUCCUGGGUUCAAUCCCCAGUACCUCCA
RNAcentral lists this transfer RNA (72 nucleotides) under Camelus bactrianus (Bactrian camel). It matches the Rfam family "tRNA". Rfam says of the family: Transfer RNA (tRNA) molecules are approximately 80 nucleotides in length. Their secondary structure includes four short double-helical elements and three loops (D, anti-codon, and T loops). Lineage: Eukaryota; Metazoa; Chordata; Mammalia; Artiodactyla; Camelidae. The record is from Rfam by way of RNAcentral. RNAcentral also lists the same sequence under 2 other names.